AUUGAACGCUGGCGGCAUGCUUUACACAUGCAAGUCGAACGGCAGCGCGGGCUUCGGCCUGGCGGCGAGUGGCGAACGGGUAAGUAAUACAUCGGAACGUGCCCAGUAGUGGGGGAUAGCUCGGAGAAAGCCGGAUUAAUACCGCAUACGACCUGAGGGUGAAAGCGGGGGAUCUUCGUACCUCGCGCUAUUGGAGCGGCCGAUGGCAGAUUAGCUAGUUGGUGGGGUAAAGGCUUACCAAGGCGACGAUCUGUAGCUGAUCUGAGAGGACGACCAGCCACACUGGGACUGAGACACGGCCCAGACUCCUACGGGAGGCAGCAGUGGGGAAUUUUGGACAAUGGGCGAAAGCCUGAUCCAGCAAUGCCGCGUGUGUGAUGAAGGCCUUCGGGUUGUAAAGCACUUUUGGCGGGAACGAAAAGGACUGUGCCAAUACCACGGUUCGAUGACGGUACCCUAAGAAUAAGCACCGGCUAACUACGUG
RNAcentral lists this ribosomal RNA (484 nucleotides) under uncultured bacterium. RNAcentral's name for it is "partial 16S ribosomal RNA". It matches the Rfam family "Bacterial small subunit ribosomal RNA", at positions 30 to 507 of the family's 1533-position model. The record is from RNAcentral.